Molecule: ribosomal RNA, 254 nt
Filed under: uncultured bacterium
Lineage: Bacteria
Description: partial 16S ribosomal RNA
Rfam family: Bacterial small subunit ribosomal RNA
Source: RNAcentral
UACGGAGGAUCCAAGCGUUAUCCGGAUUCAUUGGGUUUAAAGAGCUCGUAGGCGGUUCAGUAAGUCGGGUGUGAAAACUCUGGGCUCAACCCAGAGACGCCACCCGAUACUGCUGUGACUUGAGUACGGUAGGGGAGUGGGGAAUUCCUGGUGUAGCGGUGAAAUGCGCAGAUAUCAGGAGGAACACCAGUGGCGAAGGCGCCACUCUGGGCCGUAACUGACGCUGAGGAGCGAAAGCGUGGGUAGCAAACAGG